RNAcentral lists this ribosomal RNA (672 nucleotides) under Glomus macrocarpum. RNAcentral describes it as "eukaryotic LSU rRNA". It matches the Rfam family "Eukaryotic large subunit ribosomal RNA", at positions 1 to 612 of the family's 3401-position model. The record is from RNAcentral. Lineage: Eukaryota; Fungi; Glomeromycota; Glomeromycetes; Glomerales; Glomeraceae.
GACCUCAAAUCAGGUAGGAAUACCCGCUGAACUUAAGCAUAUCAAUAAGCGGAGGAAAAGAAAAUAACAAUGAUUCCCCUAGUAACGGCGAGCGAAGAGGGAAUAGCUCAAAUUUUAAAUCUGUUGGGUCUUACCUAACCGAGUUGUAAUUUGAAGAAGCGUUUUCUGCGUGUUUGAUUUAGCCCAAAUCCUUUGGGAUAGGGUAUCAUGGAGGGUGAGAAUCCCGUCCGGCCUAAUCAAAUGUGCAUUACGAUACGUUUUCUAAGAGUCGAGUUGUUUGGGAUUGCAGCUCAAAAUGGGAGGUAAAUUUCUCCUAAGGCUAAAUAUAGGCGAGAGACCGAUAGCGAACAAGUACCGUGAGGGAAAGAUGAAAAGAACUUUGAAAAGAGAGUUAAACAGUACGUGAAAUUGUUGAAAGGGAAACGAUUAAAGUCAGUCGUACUAACGGGGAAUCAACCUAUUGAGGGUGGAUUUGUGGGAUUCAGAGUGUCUUUGCUUUUCACAACCUGCUUUUUUUGGGUGCAAUUUGUCGUAUUGUANGUCAGCAUCGGUUUCGACCGUUAUAAAAUGACUGGAGGAAUGUAGCUUCSAUCUCGUAUUGAAGUGUUAUANCCUUUGGUAGAUGUAACGGAUGGGAUCGAAGAUUGCAACGAAUGCCCUCAUGGGCUAUCC